RNAcentral lists this ribosomal RNA (377 nucleotides) under uncultured Legionella sp. RNAcentral describes it as "bacterial SSU rRNA". It matches the Rfam family "Bacterial small subunit ribosomal RNA", at positions 284 to 654 of the family's 1533-position model. The record is from RNAcentral. Lineage: Bacteria; Pseudomonadati; Pseudomonadota; Gammaproteobacteria; Legionellales; Legionellaceae.
UAGCUGGUCUGAGAGGAUGACCAGCCACACUGGAACUGAGACACGGUCCAGACUCCUACGGGAGGCAGCAGUGGGGAAUAUUGGACAAUGGGGGCAACCCUGAUCCAGCAAUGCCGCGUGUGUGAAGAAGGCCUGAGGGUUGUAAAGCACUUUCAGUGGGGAGGAGGAUUGCCAGGUUAAGAGCUAGKUAAUUGGACGUUACCCACAGAAGAAGCACCGGCUAACUCCGUGCCAGCAGCCGCGGUAAUACGGAGGGUGCGAGCGUUAAUCGGAAUUACUGGGCGUAAAGGGUGCGUAGGUGGUWGGUAAGUUAUCUGURAAAUCCCUGGGCUCAACCUGGGCAGGUCAGAUAAUACUGSUGWACUCGAGUAUGGGAG